GAUAAUAUUUGAGGAAGGAAACGAACUCCUGCUUUUCUACAUCAUCACGAUGAGUGCGUCUCCUUCCAUUUAAGGAUGCGCUCCAGCUCCAGCACUUUGGCUGUUUCUGAAUAUCAGAUCGCUUCCGUCCUGCAGAGCAGCCUCCAGGUGUGAGUGAGACUCAGAGACAGCGUCUUAGAAGAGUGACUGCAGUGAAGAGAGCUAAAAUGAGAGCAAUAAGGCCUACUUUGAAUGGUGCCCAAAGCUGGAAGAGAAUCUCCAGCUGGCCAAGUCUACAAGGAAAGCAGCUCUUCCCUGACCCUUAUGAACUCUAGUGGCUCCAGUACUGCUGGAGUGGCAUGUGGCUGUGUGGAGCCUGUAACAAGCCUAGCAAGACCAUUGAAAAGGAAAACGUGUUUGGGAAACCAUAAAGCCCCUUGAGAAGAUGAUUGUUUUUGAAACAUGAUUCCUACUUGUUCCUGAGAUCUGGUUGAAACUAAAUUACCCAAGUAUUCAUCAUAAAGUGAUCACAGUACUUUGGUACUUGACAUGCAUUGAGAAUGUCUCACACUCUUAGCCAUAAAGUCAGGCAGUCCCAGCAGUAAUCCAUAUCAAGCCAAUUGAAAAGGAAGAGACAUCUAUGAUGCUGAGCCAGUGAGAAACCUGGAGUGCAGGUAAGUGGUGUGAAUGGGCAUUGACACUCCUUCCACAUUGUUCUUUCUUCCUAGACCUCGUGGAGGUGUUCCCAUGACUGGAACCUGGAGCACAGAUGGCUUUGCACCGUAUUCUGGCACCAGAUGGGGUGAGAGAACGUGUUGCUGCUCUUCAUGGUGUCCUUAAGGAAUCUGGCGUCACUCCCUCCUUCUUGCUGCUGUCUCUGGGCCCCACACUAGGUCUUUCUCAUCAGACCUCUCAUCACAGGAAAUGCUCGAGUGUCUGUUGCCUUGGACAACUCUGGAAAUGCAGGUGGAUCUGCCACAGAACAGUCCUCAGCCACUCCUGA
RNAcentral lists this long non-coding RNA (982 nucleotides) under Chinchilla lanigera (long-tailed chinchilla). RNAcentral describes it as "lncRNA (ENSCLAG00000026735.1)". Lineage: Eukaryota; Metazoa; Chordata; Mammalia; Rodentia; Chinchillidae. The record is from RNAcentral.